UUACAAACUGCACGAUCUGAAAUGAUUGCUCUGGUGGUAGCAAUAAUCUGCUUGGCCAUUUCUGUGAUUGUGAAUAUCGUUUUAAUCUGUUACCGAACUUCAAGAGCAGCACAAGAACAAUUCACAGGAAUUGAAUUUACCUCAUCACAAACGAGACUUGAUAAUUUGAGCCAACCAGUGGUUGAUACUACUGAAAGUGGACAUGAUCUGAACUAUGCUGCGCUGCAUUUCUCUGGAAGGAAAGCUGCACGAGGAAAGGAGAAGAUGGACAUGAAGAUUGAGGAAAGUGUGUAUUCUCAAGUUAAAAGUCAAAUGUGAAUGUGAAUGUCCAUGAAAAACUUUCUAUUUUUUGACAAAAGACAAAGUUUCCUUGAUGCCAUCAGUGUACUGAAGCUUCACUUGUUGACAAACAGCCUGUUGGUUGACUGUGCUCCCUGAGAUGUUUACUUUCAGUACUUUCUCACAGUAGUUUCUGCUGAUAAUAACCUCAUGUCUGUCAGAAAAAGCUCCUCUACAGCUUAGAAAUAUGACAGUUCAAUUUUAUUCUUUUUUUAUUAUUUGUAACUUCUCAACAGGGUUAGGGUUACUACAAGCAGCAGCAUUCAGUUUGACUGUAGUGAAUAUGAGGACUGUGACAAAAGUUAAGGACAAUGAAUUGCUGUAUAACUUACAAUGUCAUUUGUAGUUCUCUGGUCAGGCCCAUGAAUAUCUUUAAUUGAAGGAUAUUUAAAUCUAAACCAGGUGAAUGGUUUAGGAAUUACAACACAUUUUAUAUGUGUCCUUGAUUUUUUUAAGGGACCAAAAAUAAUUGGACAAAGUAACAUAAUCAUAAAUCAAAUUCAUACUUUAAUAUUUGGUUGAAAAUCCUUUGCAGUCAAUGACAGCCUGAAGUCUUGAACCCAUAGACAUCAGCAGACGCUGGUUUUGGUCCCUGGUGAUGCUCUGCCAGGCCUCUACUGCUGCUGUCUUUAGUUCCUGCUUGCUCUUAUGGCAUUUUCCCUUCAGUUUUAUCUUCAGCCAGUGAAAUGCAUGCUUAACUGGAUUCAGGUCAGGUAGUUGACUUGGCCAUUGCAGAACAUUUCACUUCUUUGCCUUCAAAAACUCUUCAGUUACUUUAGCAGUAUGCUUCAGGUCAUUGUCUAUUUGCACCAUGAAGCACUGUCCAAUCAGUUCUGAAGCAUUUGGCUGAAUAUGAGCAGAUAAUGUUGGUUAAAACACUUCAAAAUUCAUCCUCCUGCUUUUGUCAGCAGUCACAUUAUCAAUAAAUAUAAGAGAACCAGUUCCACUGGCAGCAAUACAUGCCCACCCCCACCAUGGUUCACUGGUGAGAUGGUAUGCUGUGGAUCUUGAGCAGUUCCUCCCCUUCUCCAGAUUCUUUUCUUCAAUUCAAUUUUGUGACAAACUCUGAUCUGGCCUUCCUGUUUUUGGGCUCACCAAAGGUUUACACCUUGUGGUGAACCUUCUGUAUUCACUCUGGUGAAGUCUUAUUUAUGGACCUGACUGUGUGUAUUUAGUGUUUGGCACUUCACUCUUUUGUAUUUUUGGUUUUCCAUGUUUCUGUUUCCUUAGUUCACCUAGCCUGUAGCUUAGUUUGCAUGUUAAUUUACCUCAGUGCACUCCACUGGGUGGUUUGGUUAUUAGUAUUUUGAUCCCUGCACCUUUUUUCACCUGUA
Long non-coding RNA from Acanthochromis polyacanthus (spiny chromis), 1673 nucleotides. RefSeq lists it as uncharacterized. The record is from RefSeq and is a predicted model, not a curated record. Lineage: Eukaryota; Metazoa; Chordata; Actinopteri; Pomacentridae. The transcript has 3 exons.